GUAUAUUUUUCUAGCUUAGUUGGUAGAGCAUGAGACUCUUAAUCUCAGGGUCAUGGGUUCAAGCCCCACAUUGGACG
Non-coding RNA from Orcinus orca (killer whale), 77 nucleotides. The record is from the annotation of a RefSeq genome assembly. Lineage: Eukaryota; Metazoa; Chordata; Mammalia; Artiodactyla; Delphinidae.